GAUUUAGUACUUUAAAUAAAAGAUUUGAUUUGCAUUCAAAAAAUAGAUUAUAUAAUCUCUAGAUCA
RNAcentral lists this transfer RNA (66 nucleotides) under Notocochlis sp. HL-2020. Its description in RNAcentral is "tRNA-Ala". RNAcentral also lists the same sequence under 1 other name. Lineage: Eukaryota; Metazoa; Mollusca; Gastropoda; Littorinimorpha; Naticidae. The record is from RNAcentral.